This 73-nucleotide transfer RNA is filed under the name Synechococcaceae cyanobacterium SM2_3_2. RNAcentral describes it as "tRNA-Thr". It matches the Rfam family "tRNA". From Rfam's summary of the family: Transfer RNA (tRNA) molecules are approximately 80 nucleotides in length. Their secondary structure includes four short double-helical elements and three loops (D, anti-codon, and T loops). Further hydrogen bonds mediate the characteristic L-shaped molecular structure. tRNAs have two regions of fundamental functional importance: the anti-codon, which is responsible for specific mRNA codon recognition, and the 3' end, to which the tRNAs corresponding amino acid is attached (by aminoacyl-tRNA synthetases). tRNAs cope with the degeneracy of the genetic code in two manners: having more than one tRNA (with a specific anti-codon) for a particular amino acid; and 'wobble' base-pairing, i.e. permitting non-standard base-pairing at the 3rd anti-codon position. The record is from RNAcentral. Lineage: Bacteria; Bacillati; Cyanobacteriota; Cyanophyceae; Synechococcales; Synechococcaceae.
GCUGAUGUAGCUCAGUUGGUAGAGCAGCUCACUCGUAAUGAGCAGGUCGCAGGUUCGAGUCCCGUCAUCAGCU